Mirounga angustirostris (Northern elephant seal) is the source of this 760-nucleotide long non-coding RNA. RefSeq lists it as uncharacterized. The transcript is spliced from 4 exons. The record is from RefSeq and is a predicted model, not a curated record. Lineage: Eukaryota; Metazoa; Chordata; Mammalia; Carnivora; Phocidae.
CAGGCCGGCCCCUCUGCGGAGAGCCCCUAAAAAGAACACGCCCGCCUGACACUCCCUUCCUCCGCCCGUGCAGCCCUUGUGGAGAAAGGAGCCGGGGGCAUUCAAGGCCGUGUGUCUGUGUCCCAACUGGUCUUCUAGGCAUAGAAGGAGACGGUGGGGCUCUCCCAGGCGCCUACGGAGGCUGGCCUGACACAUCAGGAAGGGCGAGCGUGUGAGCAAGCCACGCUGAAUGUCUUUCUGAACGCCGCACCAUCACACCCACCUGUCACGCCGCCACAAGAAUCCAAUCCAGGAGACCACCUUGCACUUGGAGGAGCGGGAUUUACAAGAGAACUUGUCGCUUCAGAGGCAGCCUCACUCACGGCAGCAGAGCAGAGUCUAAGAGAACGCCCGGGAGCGCCAGGAGCCCUGGGGCACUGCGAGAUAACAGAAAGAAAAAUCACGGAUGCCCAGGGAAGCCACUGACAUCAAGGUUGGGGAGUCAAUUAGGCCUUUACCUGACCCAGAAGAGUCUCAUUAGCCGGGGGGAACAGCUACCAGGUAACCACCAAAUCACCUGCCUGUUCUCAUCUCAGCUGAUUAAGUACCGUUCGAGGAUUCCAGAAGCUUCUCACACCCUGAAGCUAAAAAGCCUAAUGCAGCAUAUUUAUUUUUAAGUCACAUCCUGGAGCAGUGCACAUGCUUCCCCGGAAGAGCACUCCAUCCCAGUGUCACAGCUGGGAACGGGGGGGGGGCCGGCUCCCCGCACAGGGAAGGCCUG